GAAGUUGUUUGUAGCCGCUUGGAUUUCAGAUAGUGAAAAUUGGGUGCAAAGAUCGGAAGGAAGGAAUGAGCCGCGUGAUGACUUGGUUGCCUUGAUAGUCUUAGAAGAAAAAAAAGUCCCCAAAAGUGAAGUACCUGUACCGGAACUCGAAUCCUUGACUUUUCUUCCUCGCCAGAAAAUUAACAACAAUAGAAGAGAUAGCACACUAGAGCCUGAUAUAGCACCAGCAACCAUCCCGGUUACAUUAUUCUUCUUAGUCGGUUCUAUUGUUGGAGACGCAUCCAAAUUAGGUGGAAUCGUCCGAGGCUCAGGAUUAGGUCCGCCGAGAUUUCCAGUGUUGUCCACUUUAAAGAUUUCAAGGCCGUUCAAGAUAGCAUCAGAGUAUUUGGUCCUCCAUCUGGGGGCAGGGUGCAGUUGAAUAGAAAGAUUCUGCUUCAUAUUUUCUUCAUUUGGUUUUGAUCCUAUCAUCACAGCAUAAUCUCUAUAUACGGGAACACCAUUCGCACCACUCCAAGCUAUCACAUCUGCUUGAAAUUCAGCAGUUAAAUUAGCAAUGAAGAUCUGGAACACCCUAUUGCCCUCUUCAGUUACCUCUAUCUGAAACUCGCAAAAAUGAAGCCUCAGAAAAUAUGUAAAGCCGGAAUCCACUUCGAACUCCCAAGUGAGAUUAUACUUCUCGUUGACUUCCCUGUCCUGCCCCAUCGUCCUGGCGGUGGUGUAGACCACAUCCGGAGCAGAGUAAUUACGUACCCAACUGAGUUGAAUACUCCCGUUAACGGGAAGAGCACUUGGUCUGGCAUCUAUCAAGUAUUGGUCGUCCAUAUCCCAAGUUCGGUACAUGCCCCUGAUGUCGUCUGACGGUGAGAUUUGUUGCCCGCCGACGUUUAUCCGGUAUAAAUUCGCCAGAGCAUUUCUGUUUAAGAUACUGUCUGGGUUGUCCUGGCCAACAAACCUGAACCCCCGGCCGGGAUCAUCUGCCGCGGUGUAAUAGAAAUUGAGGGGCAUGGAUACAAUCUCAAUUCCAUUGAUAAAAGCAUAUGAAUCGUUGUAAUCCGGACUUGGAGUGAAGGUUAUGUUCAAUAGCCUCUGAUCGUCUUCGAUGUUAAUGCAGAAUUCUUUGAAAAAGGGAUGGCCGUUGCCAUCUGCUGUCAGUGAAGCGCUGAAGUUUCUUAACAGAGUGAAAGAAGCUGCUUUAACAGAGAAGAAAGCUGCAGAGGGGUUGAACCUUGGUUUUGAAGUUGGAUUGAAAUGCAGGCGGAUGAACUUUUGACCGGCGGUGACGUUGAAUAUGUAGGUGAAUUGCGAAUGAGAAACGCGUGAUGUUGAAUAUGGGACUUGCUUAUUUUCAGUGACGGUUGUUGAUUUGGGAGCGGAUGCGUCUUCAUGUGGGGAGUAUUGAGAGUUAACAUCUCCAACCCAAGUCCGACCGGGAGUACUCGUGUUGCCCAACCAGCCACAAGCAAGAAAUAUGUUGCUUUCUACUAGAGAGUAAUUAGAGUCACCGGUGACGACAACAGCUAGAUGAUGGCAGGAGAAGAAGAAAAAGAAGAAGAAGAAGAAGUGGAAGAUUUUUCUGUAUGUCUCCAUUAAUUUUUUGACAAUUAAUUAAUAGGCAGGCUGCAGCUAUAGCUUUGAUUCUUCAGAUAGCUAGACAUUUAAAGUUAGCAAAUUUUGCAGCAAUAUGUCCGUCUCUGUCAGUUGGGGGCCAGAGGCGCCUUGGCGUUUCGGACAUGACAAUCAAAAUGAUGGAACUUCUUAGUCUUCGUCAACUUCUUAGUCUUUGCCCUUUGGCAUCAGUCCAUUCUACUAUCUCCCGUAAGGCACUUUCCAUGGCCACUAUUACUAGACUUGUUUUGAAAUAUCAACUUAUAUAAAACCAUACUAUGAAACUUCGUAGUAACCACAAAUCAAUCAGUUGGAUUCCAUAAUUAAAUAUACACUUAACAAAUCUAGAUUGGACUUGAAUGUUAAAUUAGUGUUCGGUCACUAAAUUAAAAAAAUAUUCGCCCAUAAUUGGUUAUUUUAGAAAUACAUGUUUAGUAGUUUGUUGAAAGGUUGAACUAAUUAUAUUAAUGGUGUGUUUACUAAUUAGUUAUUGGAAUAAGCUGGAAUCAGAAUGAGCUGGAAUCGAAAUGUGCUGUAAUCGUAAUCAGGAAUGUGAAUUAAAAUAAAUUAUUUACUUGAGUUGCAGGAAUUGGAAUCGAAAUGGAAAUGAGAUUUAUUUAAUCUCAUUUCCAUUGAUGUGUUUAUUUUAUCUUGAAAUUGGAAUGGACUAUCAUAAUUUAUAAAAAUGCCCUUUGUUAAUUAUUGUCAAAUGAUGAUGAUGAUGAUGAUGAUAAUAAUAAUAAUAAUAAUGAAAUAAAGAAAAAUUAUAGUAGUAGUAGUAACUUAUCAUUAUAAUAAUAAUUAUUAUUAUUAUUAUUAUAAAUUAUAUUAUAAUAAUAUUUUAGUAAAUAAUAAUCUGCUGUACCGUACAUCCGCCUUGGCCGUAAACUUGAAAAUUCUAAUUAACUAUAGAAUAGAUAGGCCUGAUUUGCAACUCACAUGUUCUCUCCUCUUACUCCGCUCUUCAUUAAUUUUUGUAUGUUUUUGUGACUUUAUUUAUAUAUAGUCGAGAAUCCAAAUAGUAUGAUUAAAAUAAAAAAUCGAUUAGAAGACAGGUUGGUUUCCAAUUAGUUCAGAACAAGGGAUUAAAAAAAAAAACUUACCGAUCACUAUUUCACAGGUGAGUUCAUGAGGAAAAUAAUUAGGAGUUGCUUUCUAUUGACCACCGGGACUUGCACGGCUGCUUGACUUGUACAAUUACUGUUGUUGAAUUUGAACGACCAUCGUUAGCAUGUUAGAAUUAGAUUGGAUUAUAUUUGCUUGUGUCUUUUAUUUUGUGUAGUAUAAGAUUAAAUUGGAUUAUAAAAGUAAUAUGUUAUUGGAUAUUAAAAUCACAUAUAUAUUUAUUUAGAAGUGGGACUACUUACAUUUAAAAAAUUACUCUGAACACAUUAAUUUUAAUAAAAGUAUGUAUUUAAAAAAUAAAUUAAAUGCCUUUAGAUAAAGAACAUAUAUUGAUUCAUUCAUCUGUUCCCUCCCACCCGCCUUAAUUGUGAGACUAGAACCAUGUACUUUAAUGUUCACAUCGGUGUUGCCCAUAUGCCAAACAUAUCAUCAAGCUAACUUAGGUAAUUAUUACUCGAAAUCACUAAUUAAAUGAGGAUGGAAACCUUAUCAAUUUACGUUAAUCUUUGUCCCUUAUUAUUAUUUAAACUCAGGUAUCAAUAAUGUAAAGUUCAUAUUUAAUUAUGACCAAUUCAGCUAUGCCUAAGCAAUGUCUCUCAGUAACGUAAUGUCUACUGUCAUAGAUUAAACUCAAACCGUCUCAUAACUAGGAUAAGGAUCCUCUCUCUCUCUCUCUCUCUUUGAUGCAAAAGCUUAACGUAAAUGGACAAAAGCUUCUCAGUGGAUCAGAUUAUGAUGCAAAUAUCUUUUGAUGACGGCUUUAAUAUGAUUAUUCUAAUUUAGAAAAUGUCAAGUCUGAAUACAUUUGGAAGCAUGUGUGAAAGAACUUAAAUCGAAAUUUAUGAGUAUGAAUUUUAUGAGGCUUACUACUAUAGGAUCAAUAUUUCAUUUUCCUGACCCUUUUUAUAUUUUUCCUAUGAAGGAGGCUGAUGAGUGUGGUUGCUAGGCAGAAUUUAAUGCCUUUGCUCUUGCUAUGCAGUGUUCAUUUAGUAAUUUCUCAUUUAAGGUAAAUCCUACCACUCCUAGAUUCUUCUAAUGCGGUUAGCGAACUCUUGAAUAUUAGUUGAAAAUGAAUUAAUUACUUGCAUUUUUACAUAGCUUCAUAAAAACUAGCUUAAUAAAAAUUUAUUUGGAAAUUAUUUGCCAAGAACCUAAUAUUUCUUUUAUAGCUGUUGUUAUUUAAUCCUAUUAUAACUUUCGAAAAAGUAUACUUGGAAAUUUUUUCAGGCCUAAAUUAAAUUCUUCAAGUUUAAAUUGAAUAAAUUUGGCUUUUGGUUAAAUCUCUGAACCAAAUUGAACAAAUUUUAUAAUUUUACUAAUAAAAUUAAGUCUAUUUCAAUUCAAAAGAGUGUAAAACUAAAAGAAAACUCGAGAACAUGCAACAGUUUAUAUGAAAGAUACAACAACUGGGAUCAAACAUAAAACAUAGAUGUCAAACAUGAAAUGGGCGAGAAAAUCCUCAAGUUUUGGCUUUAUUUAAGACAUGCAACAGUUUAAGUGAAACAUGCAACAAUAAAGGUCAAACAUGCCACAUAAAAUCUACCUAUAAGAAAGUCAUAUAAAAGUGCAACAGCUGAGGUCAAACUAAUGCUAAACAUGAGAACCAUGUAAACAUACAACAGUUCAUGUCAAACAUGCAAUAACUAAGAUUGAACAUGUAAUAUGAAUGUCAAACAUGAAACAAACGGGAAAAUCCUCAAUUUUUGGCUUUAUUUAAGACGUACAAUAAUUUAAGUGAAAUAUACAACAAUUGAGGUCAAACAUACAACAUGAAAUCUACAUUUAAAAAAGUCAUAUGAAACAUGCAACAAUUGAGGUUAAAUAGGAAAACCAUGUAAACAUUCAACGAGUCACAUUAAACAUGCAACAAUUAAAGUCAAGCAAGCAAUACAAAUGUUAAACAUGAAAUAGGCGGGAAAAUUUUCGGUUUUUGGCUUUAUUCGAGACAUGCAACAAUUCUAAUAAAACAUACAACAACUAAAGUCAAACAUCAACAUCAAAUCUACAUGGAAAAAAGUCACAUGAAACAUGCACAACUGAGGUCAAACUUGCAACAACUCAGGUUAAACAUGAGUACGAUUUAAAUGAAACACAUGAUAUAUGUGACAGAUGGUCCAGCAUGUGACAUGGAUGUCAAACAUGAAAUGGAUGGGAAAAAUAUUUUGGGGUUUUUUUUUUUUGAAUUCUGUUAUACACAUUUUAUUAUUGAUAUUUCAUCAGACAUUACAAAUUACAAUAUUUACAAUCGUACUAAGCAACUGGGACCACUGCCAUACAUUAACCCACUGAAGUAUUUGCCCAGAUACUUUAAACCCUCUCUAAUAUUCGAGAAGUGUCUACUCCACUCACAUUUCGUAAAGAAGAGACAAUCUCCACUCACAUUUCGUAAAGGAGAGACAAUCUUCACUCAAUUAGUUGAUAAUUUUGGGGUAUUUAGAAUAAUAAAGAUGAGACAAAUAACAAUAUAUAUUUAAAUUUUAACAUUCACUAUGAGACAUCACAUUUAAAAUAUGGAACAAAUAUUUAUCUUGUAUUAUUUAUAAUUAUUUAUUUUUUUUAUUGAUUAUGAUAAGAUGCAACCGAUCAUGAAACUGAUUGCACCAAGUUUUUGGUUGCCUAAUUAGCUCUCUUUUUUAAAGCUUGGCACUAUACCAAAUUGGCAUUGUAGCCAUGCCAAACCCAUGUGAAGAGGAUUGAGGGACAAAUUGAGAAUUAAUGCUUCUUUGGAUCUAAAUUGUAGCUAAACAUACUUGUUUACUGGCCAUUUGUCUCUCUAAAAAUUUUAAGCUAUGAAUUAAUUGCACAUCAAUAAACACAUUAUCUUUAAAGUUUGCAUAGUUUGGGUUUGGCUUUUUAAUGCCCCUGAGCUUUCCAUCAUAAAUAUGGGAUUUGAUUAAGAUAUUAAAAUUGCAACGAUAGAGAGAUUUUCAUUUUGUUUUCAAAGUUUACUUCCAUUUCUCAAGUGUCGAUGGUGAAUCAACAGUACAGGUGCAAAAUCACAGUGUUUUGCCUAUUGAAGUUUUGCAUUUUAAUCGUUUAAGUCCAAAACAAGUUUGGUUUUAUACUUUUGUUGUAGAUAGGUUCUCACAUGUGACACACAUGUGAGUCACUUAUUCUGACCAUAAAACUUUUGUCAAGUUUGUUAGGAAGAGUGAGAAAUACAUCAGAGGUAAUACAAAUAAUUAAUACUUAUAUAAAAUGUGUAAUUAAAUUUAAUAUGACCACCACUUGUAUCAUAGUUUUUUUUUUUUUUUUAUAUACAAUGGGGCUCUAAAAAAGAGCUAAGAAAGGACUAAAUAGGGAAAACCACCCUAUACACAUCAUGAAAACAUAAAGGAAGAGAGCCGACCAAAUUUGCCACAAAGUUAGCCGAAAAGUUAGCCGAAAAGUUUGCUUCUCGAUAAAUAUGGAUGAUGGUAAUAUUCCAAUUCUGCUUGAACUCUUAGAUGGAUCGAAUGAGAGGAGAAAAUUUGUUCACCAAAUCUAAACACUUAGUAAUCAUUUGAGUCAUGUAUUAACGAUCUACUUCAACUUGCAGCCAAAGAAUUUUGGAUUGCCAAACAAUGUCCAAGCCUUGAUAGAGACCCAGACUAUCCAUUCCUCUUAGUUGCAACAUCCGUAUUAAGUUUACACCUAGGCAAAAUGGGAGGAGUCCAGCCAAUCCAUCUCUCAGUCUUCAUAAACCCCUGUUUAGAGGCGAAUUGUUAAUCUGUUGAAUUUCCUCAACCCUCAUAGUGACAUUAGUAACCAAAGCUCCACUAUUUCAAGUCACACGACUAAAAAAAAUUGGUUCGCUAAAACCAGAGUCUCCAAAUUGCUACAUUAAAGAAACACCUUUACUAUAAAACUUAUCAAUCAACCAAAAACUCUUCAAGUUUUGAUUCAUCUAAUCCCGAAGAUCAAGGUUAUAACAUUCAUGGCGAUGCGACACAUGAAUGAUUCGAUAUGGGCCUUGCCAGCUCCAAGCAAGGUUCCAAAUCUAAUCUUCUAUAUGAUUUCCAUAAGGGUUGUUAGCAUGUCAUGCAGAUUUGAUUGUAAAAAUGCCUUUAUCAGAAAAAGCCCAAAAGACUUAAUCGUUACCUCUUUGAUCCAAAGAGGAGGGAAAGCAUUUAUUCUGAGGAUGAUGUGAUUAGGGAGAAGAUGUUUGAAUUGGUCUCAUCACCAGUUCCCAUUACAAUAAGUAAAGUUAGUAGUAACAUUAUUAAGGAUAUUGUCAGGAACAAUACCAAUUGCAUGAAAGAACAAUGGUUUAUCUUUUGUAACCCAACGAUCCCACCAAAACUAAUCCCUUCUACCACCUCCUAUAUUCUAGGAAACGCCUAACCAUAUAUCCUUCCCAGCAUUCCCUAUAUCUUUUCACAAGUGAAACCCAUUUCAUGUACGUAAACUUGAAGGAAAAUUAUAGGAAUCCACGCCAUAUUUAAUUAUCAAUACUUGGGCACACAGGCUCGAAAGAGAAGAAAUAAUGCCCUAUCCCAUCUUUAUCAACUGAGCUCGGUUCAUCAUACCAGGAUUUUAAAGCCCAAACCACUACACACUUUUACCUGGCAAAUUUUAUCCCAAUUAACCAGGGUCAUUUUUGUUGAUCUGUUACAUCGCUUCAAAUGAACUUUUUACAAGCAUGCUUAACUUUUGACUUAAGUUUUGAAAGGAGAAUUUUCGUUUGCAUGGCAUAAAUGGAGAUUGCUUGAAGGAAUGACUGAGAAGUGUAGUUCUUCCAACCAGGGAAAGAUAAGAGGUCGUCCAACUAGACAAACUUUUUUCUACCUUGUCGAUGAUCUCAUAAUAAGUAAGCUUAGAGAGAGAAGGAGGGGCAUACCAAGGUAUUUACCACGAUUAUUAGUGAUAGAGUAACUAAGAACUCUUCUAAUAUUAUUAUCCUCCUUAGCAUUAAUAUUCUUUUAUAAGAAUACUUUGGUCUUGGUUCUAUUAAGCUUGGCCUUGGAACUUCUACAGAAAGUAUCAAGGGCCGAAUUGAUUACUCUCGCCUACUCACAGGAUGCCUUAGGUAGAAGCAAAAGAUUAUUAGUAAAAAGAGAUUAGUGAGGGGGGUUCCAUUACAAGUCAAGCAAAUAAGUUUCUAUUCCCCCGUGUCCACUGUAUUGCAAAUACCGUGACCUAGCCUCUCAAUACAUCAAACAAAAAUGUACGGCAAGAGGCGUCCCCCUAAUGAAUUCCCUGAUAAGGAAAAAAUUCAUUCGUCAACUCUCCAUUUCAAAGCACGACCAUUUUCAAAGCUGUGAUGCAUUCCAUAAUAAUUUGUGCAAGAUCCACUAGAUGAUUGUUUUUCUCCGCAUUGCAUGAACGAAACUUCAACUAAGACGGUCAUAGACUUUCUUCAAGUCAACUUUAACCUGCCAUGUUCCCCGUCGACUAGUUUCCUCUGUAUAGAAUGAAUAAUCUCCGGAGCUACAAUAAUAUUUUCAAUAAUAUGUCAGUCUGGUACAAAACUAGUUUGAUGGGGGCCAAUGAGCUGAGGAAUAAUGGUUUUCAACUGACUUGCCACAAUCUUAGUCACAGUUUUGUAAGCCAUAGUACACAUGCUUAUGGGACGAUACAUCCUAAGAUUAAUAGGAUUAUCAUUCUUGGAAUCAGAAUUAGCAAAGUUGAGUUAAUCUCUUUCAUGAAACGAAAAAAAGAGGGAUCAACAAUACUCCACUGAAAUUGGUAAAAAAUGGCAUGAAGGCCAUCAACUUCUGGAGCUUUUAACGGCUUCAUGCUGAAAAUAGAAUUCUUGAUUUUGGUAUCAUCAACAAGCCCUUGAAGAGUGUGAAACACAAUCUCAUCAAUAAUCGGAAAACAUCCCGUAAGAAGGUAAGUGUCUUUACUAUCUUCACAAGUAUAUAAAGAUAGAAAGAAAUGAACAACGUGUUGUUUAAUUGCCGCGUUAUCAAAUAACCACUAUGCAGAUUCAUUUGUAUUAUUGCAAUACAAUUUCUUUGUCUUCUAGCAAUAGUUUUUUGGUAGGACUUAGUAGUGUUUCAGUGCCCGUGUAAUAGCCAAGCCUUAAGCCAAAAAUUUAUUCUUGAGACAAAACUUCUUCAAGCUCUUUUUUCAAUUAAAUCUUAAGAUGAAUAAGGCUCUCAGAAUAGUUAUCUUUGAGCACUUUUUAGAUAACCCCCCAACAAGCCAAAAUCUGACGCUUUCUUAUAAAAAUGUUUCCAAAUGGUCCUUAUUCUAGAUUGAGACUUUACCAAUGAAAUAACGAGCCCUUUGAAUAUAGAAAGCACCAGAGUUCCAUGUAUCAGCAACGAGAUCAGUGAACCUAUUGUUGGUAAGCCACGUUGCAAGAAAACAAAAGGGCCUCUUACCUUACUUAUUCCUCUCCUUCCUAUUGAAAUGAACUAACACAGGUUUGUGAUCAAAAGUGACUUUCGAGAGGUGCAACACUGUAUUAUUAGCAAAAUUAUCGAACCAUUCCUCAUUAGACAUCGCCCUGUCUAGGCAUUUAAAAAGAAACUUCGAGACUAGGUAAACCUUGGUCUGUUAAAAGGAAAAUCAUAUAUCUUUUUAGAAUGAAACUAGUUGUAAAACAAACCAAAAAAUAUACUAGUAUUUACAAAACCACUUUUCUUCUCUUAAGCAUACAAGAUAGAAUUAAAAUCACCACCCAUUAGCAAAGGGCCUUGAACCGCGUUAGCAAAAUUAUCCAAAUGUUCCCAGAGGUGCUUCCUAGAGAUGGCCAAUGGAUUGAACGGCACGGGCAUGGCACGUGUUCGCACAGCACAGCACGGCACGACACUAGCACAUUUUGAUGGGGCAUGCAGCAUGGUACAGCACACAUGUGGGCUGGGCCACACUUAGAAUUUUAGGCACGUGGACUUUAAAAGCACGACAUGAUUAAAAAUGGGUUAAGCAUGACAUAAUGAAAAAGGCCGCAAUAAGCAUGUUUUAUUUUUUUAAUGAAAGUAAACUUAAAAUUUUAUGAUUUUACAAAUAACUUGAAAUUGAUUUUUUUAAAUUUAUUUAAUUCUUAGUUAAAAAAUACUAUAAUUGAUUUAUAUUUUUAAUUUAUUAAAUAAAUAAUUGAUAUCAUGAUUUUAAUGAAUAAAAUUAUAAAUAUCAUGAUUUUAUAAAUAUGCAUUAAUAUUAUUGUGAAUUAUGAUCUAUGACUUUAUGGAAGUCCAAGUUAAUAUUUAAAUUAACCCUUAAGAAAAAUUUAUUAUUAUUGUUGUUGUUGUUAAGUAUUAAAAAAAUUAUAAUACUAUAACGUCAAACUUAGUAAUUGAUAUUACAUUCUCUUACUAUUAUUAAUUUAUUAUUAUUGAAUAUGGACUUGAGUUUUGAAUUUUGAUUUUAUUAAAUGUGAAUAAAGGUAUAAGCCUAAAAAAAUAUAUAUAGACUUGAAAAAAGUACGCUAAUAGUUUCGCAUACACUUUUAAAAAUUUUUUAAAAAAGAAAAAAAUCUUAUUGGGCUUUUCUUUUCAGGCACGGCAUGACACCAGCACGAGCAUAUAUAGACCUUACUUUGAUGGGCCGAGUUAGCAUGGUACUGCCUAUUGGCCAUCUCUAGUGCUUCCUGAUAAUAGGAUAGGACUAGCGUAGAUAGCAGUGAUCCAUGACACGAAGUUGUUAUUCUUAAAAACUUUGAAGUGAAUAAAUUGUCUAUGAUUAGUAACAAUUUCUAUAUUGAAAAAGUCCUUUCAUAGGAUCCAAAUCCCCUCAGAGAAACCAGUAGCUUCAACUCUAGGGGAUUUAUCAAAGCUAUUUCUUUUAAUGAAAUCAUCUGCUUUAUACCCACUGAUUCUAGGCUCUAGUAAAACAACCAUGACCGGCUCAUAAUUCUUGAUAAGAGAACCAAAAAAGCGACAGAAGACUAGCAAUGUCGCUCCCUAGACAUUCCAAAACAUAAUUGAUAAAGACAUCUAGAUAUGUACGAUAAAAGUACGAAACACCUUAUAAUUUCGGCCCUGAGGCCUUGAUCUCCAAGUCCAUAGGUGAUUCAUCCACAAGAGACAUAUCUCCAUCAGAAGAACCAGACUCAUCAUUAUCACUUUCUCUCAUAUAAUUGUUAUCCUUCCCAUCAUCAUCCAUGUCGCUAGUGAUAAUUAAGUGCCGGUAUUAGAGGGAUCAUCGGCUAGUUUAGAUGACUUAUCAUACUGCACACCAGUUAUAUUGUCCUUAGCUUGGCCACUGGAAGAGGAAGCAGCGGAAUUAUUAUUGGUAGAGGCAACAGUGGUGAAAGGGAUAGUAGAGUGGUAUAAAGGAUUGAGACUGGUUGGGACGAUAGUUGGUACAUGCUGGCUAGUCUGGUUUAAAUGGACGUUCGUUUUGCUAUGUAAGGUGUGUGGGAGUUGUACGAGAGUAGCAUCAAUAGCAUUCGGUUGGUUGGUAGUGUUGGGGCCAUGAAUAGAAAAAUCCGCACGUAUGACAAUGCUUAGGUUGGGGGUGGAAUUUUGGCUUUUUUUUUUAAAUGUUGAUUUCUAAGGACAAGUAGAAUAGUGGUAUUAUUGGAGGUUGGCACAUUACAAUUCAUGGUAAUUGGAUAUGACUUAUUAAUGCCAUGAUUUGGGUCCUCCUCAUUGACGCUGGCAAGAAUACCAAAUCGCGAUUCCUAGCCGAAAGAUCCCCAGUGACCACGCUCAGAAUCACGACCAAGCUCUCUUGCCUUGUCAAUAUGAGGUUUCCCUUUCCUGGAAACUACCAUCCAUGGCCCAAGUUUAGGGAUACUCUGGUUAUCAUCACUGGUUUUAUUGACCAUCUGCUUGCCGAAGAUGUUCACAUGUUGAUUUAGCUCCCCUGGGUUACCAUUUUCCUCCGUAUGAUUAGGGCAAGAUUCCUUAUUAUGGUCAUAUUUUUCACUCUGGAAACAAAUAUUAGGAAGACUUUCAUAUUCCACCUUCUGAGUUUUUCCAUCCAACAAAAACUAUAAAACAAGAGGUUUUUAAGAUCAAUUUCAACUGCAAAUACAAGCGAAAUUUCCUCUUAUUGCUGACUCGAUGUUAUAAUCAAUUCUGAUAACUGAUCCAAUUAUCUAGUUGAGCAUAUGAUGAAUUUUUUAUGAUAAUAAUGUAGAGCCAUGCACAACAGGCAGAUCCAAGCUAUAAUCGAAUCAGUUUCCUCCUUAGAACUAUCAAAGUGAGGAGUUCAUGGUUGCACCGUUAAAUAGCGGCCUAAAAUUGUCCAAGGACCAAGAGUCAAAGCAAACUCGGCAUCAUCGUUUGAUUUAAAGCGGACAACAUAAAAAUCAUUCUCAAGGUCAAUGAUAGAGAAACCAAAGGUCGAGCUCCAAGUUGCUUCCAAGCGAUUGCAGAGAGCUCAAUACCCUAUGUGACGUCACAAUAGCUUGACAACAACCGUAUGCUGCGAAAGCUUGAUAAGUUGGUCGUGAAGCUUUUGGGAGAAAGAGAUGGAGUGUAAAUUACCACAUCGUGUUCUUAAAAAAUCAAUUCAUCAUCAUGGCCAAUCAAAUCUGCUUCAACUUCCCUUUGUGAUUCCAUGAGUAUAUCCUUAAAAGAGAUAUGCUCAGGGUUGUCUCUAUCCUCACGUUGAGGCCUAAAUUUUGCUUCUUUGGUAGAUCGAUCAUCAUUUAUUGGUGAACUGAAGAUUUUUACUACUUGUAUCAUAGUUUUUCAAAAUAAAUGUACUCAUAUUAUAGCAUCAUUUUCUUAUUAUAUAAUCAAAAAUAGAAUCCAUUUAUUCAUUAUAUUAAGUUGUAAAUAUAUCUUUCUAUAUGUAUUCCUAAAUUACAGUAGACUUGGAUUGCAUAGCUUAAUUAUAGGGAUCCUAGCUUAACUAUAGGAACUGGUGGUCGUGUAUAGCAAGUCAGUCGUAUGUAUAUAUAUACUCAAUCAAAUGUCAAUAAAAUUAACUCUGCCCAUUCUACUUUUCGCUCAUAUUUACAUGCUAUCAGAGCAAGGACUCGCUGCACUUUAAUCUCUCGUGUAGCAUCUCUCUUUCAACCAUCAUAACCCUUGAGGAUAUUCCUAAAACCAGCCAUUCUGAUCCACAAAAAUCAGAGAUUUUUGCAGAUUCCUCCAAGGCAGAUCUCUCCAAUCCUUUUGCACUCACCAUUUGGAUAACCCUGGAUUGAUUCUCGUCUUCAAACCUCUAAAUGGGGAUAAUUACUUUGGUUGGAUAAGGGCUAUGGUUCGAGCUUUAAACUCCAAGAAUAAGCUCAGAUUUGUCAAUGGUUCUAUCAAAGUUCCUUCAGAAGAAGUUGAUCCUGAAGGCUAUGCGACUUGGUCGAGAUGCAACGAUAUAGUUCAUUCCUGGAUUGUCAAUUCUUGCGAUCCAGAAAUAGCUGACAGUGUGACUUUUUAUUUUACUGCUCAUUAGGUUUGGAAAGAUCUUUAUGAGCGUUUCUCUCAAGUCACAUCUUUGAGAUACAACGAGAUAUUGUUUUUCUUCGACAAGAGUAACUCUCUGUCUCUACUUAUUAUACUAAGUAAAAAAGUUUUUAGGAUGAAUUGGCAACACAUUCAGACAUAGCACAAGCCAAUCGACAGAAAUUGAUGCAGUUUCUAAUGGGUCUAAACAAAACUUAUAGUGCAAUUCGAAGUCAAAUCCUGCUCAUGAAUCAUUUGCCUUUUAUUCGCCAAGCCUACUCUUCAAUCUCCCAAGAGGAUAAACUGCGCCUCCUCAGUUCAACGCAUACAAGCACCAAUUCAAGUAGCAGAGCUGCCGCCAUGGCUGUACGCAGCAAGCCGAUUCCUUCGGCAACAAGAAAAACCGAACAAACUUGCUCUCAUGGGUUCCUAGAUUCUCGCGAUCGAACAUACUCUCAAGCGUAGGAAUUUGCAGGACCUCAAGAUGGAGAUCAACGUUGAUCUGGCUCUAGGAGAGGUAGGGAUUUGUGUGACCACUGUGGAAAUUUCAGCCAUUGGAUCCAAAAAUGUUAUAAGUUGCAUGGAUACACACCGGGCCAUCUUAAAGCUAAAAUGAACUCAGGCCAAAAUUCAAAUCGGCAUAAAGGUAUUUCUAUGGCUGAUCAAGUUGGAGAGGUGUCAAACACAAAUGAAGGCUCACUUACAAUAUCUGAUGCUCAAUUCAAGCAAAAUGAACUCAGGCAUAAAGGUAUUUAUGUGGCUGAUCAAGUUAGAGAGGUGUCAAACACAAAUGAAGGCCAUCCUAAAGCUAAAAUGAACUCAGGCCAAAAUUUAAAUCGGCAUAAAGGUAUUUUUGUGGUUGAUCAAGUUGGAGAGGUGUCAAACACAAAUGAAGGCUCACUUACAACAUCUGAUGCUCAACUCAAGCAACUUUUGUCACCCCUGAAUAAUCAAAAUGAAGGUUCUCACUCUAAAGCAAAUGCGGUAACAAACCCAGGUUUGUCUAAGAUUGCUUCCCGAAAUUUGAUUAUUGAUAGCGGGGUGACAUAUCAUAUUACUUCAUCAUCUAAUUUAUUGCAUAAAGAUAACAACUGCUCGUUACCGCCCGUGUUGUUGCCUAGUGAAGAAAGAUCAAAUAAUGUUGCAAAAGGGUUUUUACCUCUCAAUUACGUCUAUUAUCUGCAUGAUGUGUUAUCUGUGUGUACAUUUAAGGUUGAUUUGAUGUCAGUUAAUCGUUUGACAAUAGGUUUGAGUUGUUCAGUGACGUUUUUCCCAUUUUUCAGGAUCUAGCUAUGAGGAGUACAAUUGGUUUAGGUAAACAACGAGAUGGGCUAUAUUUUUUAGUGGCAUUAGCGACAAAGCAAUCUGUGACAAAACCUUCCUCAUCAAACAAUCGAGCAGUCUGCAAUCUCACCAUCUCAUCUACUGACCUCUGGCAUAAUCGCUUAGGCCAUAUAUCAUAUUCUCGUUUAAGUUUUAUUGCCAAGAACUUUUUGAAUUUUUCUGUUGAGUCUAAUAAUGCAUGCCUCAUAUGUUCGUUGGCUAAGUAAAGUCGUUUUCCUUUCAAUAACAGUGUUAUUUCUUCUACAAAACCUUUUGAAAUGAUUCAUUGUGAUAUUUGGAGUCGUUAUCGACACAUUUCCAUUACCGGAGCUUAUUAUUUCCUCACUAUUGUUGAUUAUUAUAGUCGUUCCACAUGGAUUUUUUGGAUGCGACACAAAAACGAAGCACAAUGUCUUUUAAAAAGCUUCUUCAACUAUGUUUCCACUCAAUUUAACUGUUGUAUUAAAACAUUUUGAAGUGACAAUGGUAGAGAAUUUAUCUCACUUAGAUCUUUCUUUCAAGAUCAUGGUGUUGUUUUCCAAACUUCAUGCGUUUACACGCCUCAACAAAACAGGGUUGUAGAACGCAAACAUUGCCAUAUCUUACAAGUAGCCCGAGCAUUAAAAUUCCAAGCACAACUACCAACCCAAUUUUGAGGCAAAUGUGUACUCACUGCUGUACACAUCAUUAAUAGGUUACUUUCACCUGUUAUUUCCUUCAAAACUCCUUACAAACUUCUCUAUUCAAAAUUGUCUUCCUUUUUCCCAUCUUUGUGUUUUUGGGUGUUUGGCCUAUGCCACUAAUGUUCACACUUCUCACAAAUUCGACUCUCGUGCUAUAUCAUCUAUCUUCAUCAGUUAUCCCAUCGCUCCAAAGGGCUACAAAUUAUUUAAUUCAUCAACUAAAUAGAUUUUUACAAGCCGGAAUGUAAAAUUCCACGAAACCAUUUUUCCUUACUCAUCAGUCCAACCCAAAUUUUCUCUUCCCCUGACAGCCCAUCAAUCAAGCCCAAUUCAUUUAAUUACUUCCUCCCUCGACUCAUCAUUUCACUCUAACGUAAUUCCACCAAGCCUCAUUCCCUUAUCCCACCUCUCUCUCAAUUCUCCCAAUCAAAUUUUCUCUCCUCCUCCCACGGUAGCACCGCCGUCUUCCCCUUCCUAGGCCAUCCUUCGUACUUAUUUUCGUCGUCCUAAAUUUGUUGCCCCAUUAGUCUCAAAUGACCCACCUUUUUAAUUCCAAGUUCGACCAAAGGUACAUGAUAUCCACUGGCUAAUUAUAUUUCAUAUCACUGAUAUAAGCUUGCUUAUCAGUCCUUUAUUGUUCAAAUCAGUAAUCUCACUGAACUCAUGUCUUAUUUAGAAACUGCCGUUCUCCCUGAGUGGCAAGCGACCAUGCAUUCCAAAUUGCAGGAACUGCAAGAAAAUGGUACUUGGUCUUUUACCCCUCUUUUGGCUGGUAAAACUCCAAUUGGCUGUCGUUAGGUUUACAAGAUAAAAACAUAAGUUUGAUGGAUCCAUUAAACGGUAUAAGGUGCGGCUUAUAGCCAAGGGUUUCACUCAAUUAGAAGGAGUUGACUACCAGGAUACUUUUUCUGCGACAACGAAAAUAAUUUAUGUUCAUUGGUUGUUGGUGUUAGCUGCUACCCGUGGUUAGUCUCUUCAUCAACUCGACGUCAAUAAUGCCUUUCUUUAUAGUGACCUCCUAGAAGAAAUUUACAUGUCUCUCCCGCUAAGGCUUCGGCGACAGUGGGAGGAACACUUGGUUUGUCACCUCCACAAGUCAUUAUAUAGGUUUAAACAUGCAUUUUGUCAAUGGUUUCUUAAAUUCUCUGAGGCCAUACGUUCAGUCGGAUAUGUACAAUCAAAAGCUGACUACUCUCUGUUCACUAAGAAGCAAGGCAAGUCCUUUAGUGCCCUUUUGAUAUAUGUUGACGACAUUUUAAUCACUGAAAAUGAUCCUAUAAGUAUAAUCGAUAUCAAAAAAUUCAUGCAUAAUCAAUUUCACUUUAAAGAUCUAGGAGACUUGAAGUAUUUCCUUGGUAUUGAGAUUUCUGCAUCUAGGAAAGGUAUUUUUAUUUCUUAGAGAAAGUAUGCGUUGGAAAUUAUAAAGGAUGCAGGGUUAUUAGGGGCAACUCCCAUUGAUACUCCCAUGGAAUGUGGCUUAAAAUUGUUUGAUAAAAGUGAGCCACUCAAAGACCCAAGGCGAUAUAGGCGAUUAGUUGGAAGAUUAAUAUAUCUCACAGUUUUGAGGCCGGAUAUCAUGUACUCUGUCUAUAUAUUGAGCAGAUUUAUGCACCAACCCCGGAAGGAUCAUUGGGAGGUAGCCAUACGGGUUGUACGCUAUUUAAAAUCUGCUCCUGGCCAAGGCCUUUUCUUCUCCUCAAUUAGUGAUCUUUGGUUGCGAGCAUAUUGUGACUCGGACUGGGCAGGAUGCCCCCUUACAAGAAGAUCUACUACAUGGUAUUGUGUGUUCUUGGGCCCUUCGUUGAUUUUGUGGAGAUCGAAGCGACAGAAAACCGUCUCCAUUUCCUCAGCCGAAGCAUAGUAUCAUGCGAUGACUGGAUCUUUUUGUAAAUUAACAUGGCUUCAUUACUUAAUUAGAGAUUUGGGGAUUUUACAUCAAGAGGCUACAUUGCUAUAUUGUGACAAAAGGUUGCAUUACAUAUAGCAACUAAUCCAAUUUUUCAUGAGUGCACAAAGCACAUAGAGAUGGAUUGCCAUUAUACAAGAGACAAGAUACAAGAUGGUUGUGUGAUAACGAGAUUUGUGAGUUCCGCGAAUUAGCUUGCCGAUGUGCUGACCAAAGCUUUGGGAAAAGAAGUUUUCAUGCCUAUGGUUCUCAAGUUGGGAGUGCCAGACAUUCACUCUCCAACUUGAGGGAGAGUAUUGGAAAGUAGAAUCUAUUUAUUCAUUAUAGUGAGCUGUAAAUAUAUCCUUCUAUAUGUAUUCCUAAAUUACAGUAGACUUUGAUUGCAUAGCUUAAUUAUAAGGAUCCUAUCUUAACUAUAGGAACUGAUUGUCGUGUUUAGCAAGUCAGUCGUAUGUGUAUAUAUACUCAAUCAAAUGUCAAUAAAAUUAAUUCUGCCCAUUUUACUUUUCUCUCAUAUUUGCAUUAUAUAGUUGAUAUAAUACUUUUGAUAUAUUUUAAAAUUUCUCUAGCCUAGCUUUUGGCAUAACUUCAAGGAUAGAUUUGUGAAUUUAGAAAGAGAAUUAGAAAGGGGUUUCUUCUUGUAAAUUGUUCUUUCUAAAGUUUUUAACAAUAAAGAAAUAAACAUAUUUUUAGUUGGAAUUAAGCAACUAGGAGGUUGAACGAUCAAAAUCUGUGUGUACUCAUCUUUUUAUUUUGAUCUGUUUCUUUUAUUAUUCUUGCUUCGAUUCUUGUGAGCGUCAUCUUGAUCCUGGGGUGUUUAAUUUGUAUUGUAAAUAUAGAUUCAAACCCAACAUCAAAGAGAAAGGCCCUUUUUUAUUUUGGGUUGUUAUUCCCUGCUUUGUUUAUAAUCAAAACAAUAAGUCCUUUUGAUGCUUCAAACACUAGGCCAAGUUCUAUUAACUGUAGUGCUGCUGGGUGACCGAGGCUUCCUAGACAAACAUAGACUAGAGAAUCGACAUCUUGUAAAUCAUGCCACUAUAAACAUUUCGUCCUGUGCACCAAAUUUUAUCCCCUCGUACGUUUCAAAAUUUUUUUGACAUAGGCUUUUCCAAUUCCUCAAAUGUUUUCACCUAACCCUAAUGUCUUUCUGAAAUUCUUUCGUAUCUCUAAUGAUCCCACAUUGACAACACUAGGUAGCUGAGCUAGAUGUGGGCAUUAACAUAAAGUGGCCUUGUGCCAGACGUAAGAGCAAGACAAAUCCAUGCAGAAGGUUUACAGAGGCCAUGUGGAAGAGAGUUUAGUUUCUGCAAAGGUGAAGCUAAUAUGUCUUUGAGAAUUUCAGGUUGAGUGUCUAUCUUUUGUUACGUAUGACGUCAUGAGGAAAAGUUCCUUAUAACUCAGACUAAUUGUCCUUUAUUUUUUCUUCGUUGGUCUACAGCUCUAAAUUGCUUGAUACAAGUAUGACUGAAGCGCUGUUGAUAACUUAUUUUGCAGAACAUAAUAUAUUGAAUAAUCUUUGGUUUAAUGCAAAAUAAUUAGUUUUCUAUCAUACUGCUUAAGCUGGACGACUAUUUUAGAACAUAUGAAAUAAAUUACAUGUUAUAUUUUGCCAUUACAUGAUAGUUAAAGGAAUUUCCUUUAAAAAAAUUCAAGUACAUGGUAGAAUAUUAAGUCAUUCUUUGUAUUAUUAUUAAGGGAAAUUAUCCACUGUCUACCCUUUUUUUACUGUUUUUAAAAAAUACAUAAAUCUUUUUUUUUCCAGCACUCCACCUGAAGUUAACAUUUUUUUCAUUAGUCCACACUCGUUAUAAUACCGUUAGAACUUUGUUGACAUCAUAAGGGUAAAAUUGUCAUUUUAUAACGACAAAGUAUUGGAAAGGUGCAAAACAAUAUAACUUCAAGUGGAGUUUAACAAAAAAAAUAUUAAGUAUUGUGUAUUUUUGAAAAAAUACGAAAAAAAUAUGGUUGGUGGAUAAUUUAUCUUUUACAUUUAAGGGUAAAAAAGUCAUUUAUACAAUAUUUCGUUAGUUUUCUUAACGGUCUCCAAACGGAAGUGGAAAAGUGAAAAAAAAUGUAAGUUCAGAUGGAUUCCAGAAAAAAGUUGGAAAAAAUAGGUGGACGAUGGAUAAUUUCCCUAUUAUUAAUCUAGCGCUAGACAUGGUAGAAUAUUAAGUACAUUCGACAAAACACUUAUUAAUAAAAUUAUAUCAUAAGUUAAUAUUUGCAGUAUGAGAAUUAUUAUAAAUCAAGUAUUUAAUUAUCAAUAACAAUUUAUCCACCAUUGUAAUUACAAUUAAAAUGAUAAUUACAAUCACAAUUAAAAUAAUGUUUACAAUUACAAUUAUGAUAACAAUUACAACUGCAAUUGUAAUUCGUAAUUAUAAUUAUAACAUUAUAUACAAACUGCAACUGUAAUAAUUAUUGUAAUUGUAAUUGUAAUUACGAAUACAAUUGUCAAUGUAAUUCCAAUUCCAAUUACAAUAGUUGUAAUUGUAAUAAUCUUUAUAAUUAUUAUUUUAUUUGUAAUUGUCAUUGUAAGAGUUGUCGUAAUUAAAAAUGUAAUUAGUGAGUGUCAACUAGUUUAGAUAUUAAAAUCUUUUGUAUUGGAAUUUGGAAAUAAAAGGCCUGAGUUCAAACCGUGCUAACAUGGGGUGAGAGGGGAUUGGUUUGUCAUUAGUUGAGAUGUAAAAUCUCUUGUGUUGAAAAUAACAGGAUUGGAGGUUUGAAUUUCGUUCACAUGAAUGGAGAGGAGAUUGGAUUGUCAUUAGGCUAAACAAUUAAAAAAAAAAUUGUAACUAAAAUUAUUGUUGUUGAUGUCAAAAUUUGGAUUAGUUAGUUACUGACUGGAUACCAAAUCUCUGUGUCAGCAUUAUAUUUAUUUGUUGGGGAAGUGGCUUAUGAUCACUAGCAGAUAACUCGUAAACACUUGAAAUCACAAAGAAUGGUAAGAGGCGGUAGAGGUUUUUCUAGCGUGAACCCUCUGACACCUAAGUCAGUUAUCAGGUUUGCAAGAAAGAUAAAAUAUGUAAUUUCUAGUUUUUUAUGAAUAAAUAAUCUUAAGUAAAUGGAAUAGAAAAAUCAAAACUGAGAAAGAAAAUUGAACCUCCUCUUCAUUUGGAUUUUUUUGGACUUCUAUAAGCAUAUGGAAUUAUUGCACCAUCUUUAAUGCGUUGGCGUUACUAGGUUGAAUGUGUCGCUUAAAUCAUGAGUUACUACGAGCGUUACAAAGUAAUUAUUGAGCUGCAAUUAUAGUAGCUAGGCGUGCGUGGACAUUAUGCCUGACUUUUCGAAAGGAACCCGUCACUAAAACUUAAUUGGAAUCUUUGGACUGACCAGAUUCUGGUCUCCUCAAACCCAUCUGCUCGAGGUUACUAGAUUACCUCUUGGUGGAGAAGGUCUGCUCAAGGUCACUAGAAUCACCCCUCGGUCGAGGCGGUCUGCUCAUGGUAUUAAGAAUUACCUCCUGGUCAAGGUGGUCUGUUUGAGAUCAUCAAGAUUACCAUCUGGUCAAUGUAAUCUGCUCGAUGUUACUAAAUAAUAUCAUGGUUGAGAUCAUCAAAAUUACCACCUGAUUGAGGUUGUCUGCUCGAGGUCACCAGAAUUUUCUCCUAGUAGUCUAUCAACUAUUUGCUCACUCUUUACCUCGUUGAGAUCAUGAUCACUCUAUUUUAUUCCCCAAACAAUUGUUGUUGUAAUUAAAUUAUUAUUUGCUACAAAAUGACUAUUAGGAAGUGAUAUAAGGUAGCUCACAUUGUAAGAAAAAAUAAACCAGGUAGAUUCCCGAGAAAUAUUAGAGGGUUACAAAUGGUCCUACUUAAAAUUUAGAUUCUUUAAACAAUGUAUGAUACUAUGAUGAAGUAUUGUGAAGCUGCUUAACCAAAUCUUUUAACCAACACUCUCCAAGAUCCUCGAUUAGAAUCAACAAGAUGCUUAAGAGAUGAUAUGAAUUGCUAAUAAAGAAUCUAUGUAUGAACAAGAUGGUGACUAAUUCAAAAACGAUCAAAGAAUUAGCCAACAAAUCAAAGAAUCGUAAAACAAAGCUAUUAACGUGGUUCAGUCAAUUUGCAUUGACCUACAUCCAUGAGGGACCAAGAACGCCUCUCUCAAACAAGCUAUCUCUCUCUCUAUCUCUCACACCGGAAUUAGUCGUAUAAAUAGUUUUAACGAACCCAUAAACUUUUCCAGAAACGCAUGUGUUUACCACGUGAAUUAACGGCGUCAUAACAACUUUUGCAAAUCACGUGCGUUGCACAAGCUUCAUUAAACUAAAAACGGCAAAGCUUCUGGUCGUUUAAGCUAGCAAACUUAAUGCACAUCAAAACAUAGAUCUUGCAUGUCGUUUUGCCUUCGUCAUGGACAUACCAAAAACGCAAAUCACCUCUGUCGUUUUGAUCUCUUUAAUUUGCUUCAUGGAUAUAUGACCUUUAUGAUAAAACCUUUGUAAACUAUCUGAGCUUACUAAUUGAUAUAGCAUAUAUUAUUAAUUAUAAAUUACAAUACUAUGUGAUAAUAAAUAUAAAAACAUAAAUAUGAGGCUUGGAAAGGUACAAUGUUUUUAAAAAAGAUUCACUACCUUUUCAACAAUACUUAGGUUAUAUUGGUGUCUGACUGCCUAUCUUCUAGGAUGAUUGAAUUUAGAUCAUCUCAAUAUUACAAUUUUACAAUUUUAGCGAACUUCAAAUAAGUAUUCCAUUAAGUGUUUGAAUUUUAUCACAAGCGCUAGAGAGAAUUUGUUUUAGAGGGAGGAGGAAAAAUCACUUUGACUAAAGCAUUACAGAAAUGAGGUCUCUCCAGAGAUUUAUAAGAGAUGGGGUUUCCUCCAGAGCCCGCAAUAAGCGCCUAUGACACUUCCGGUUCCAUCAGAAACUCUUCUAAACCCGCAAUUGGGAUGUUCAUCAUGUCGAUGUUGUCUUUCAAAGACAGAGAGGCUGCUGCUGCCGACGUACUAUUAAUUAUUUAUAUGUUGCUGAAUAAUAAAAUUACUACUAGUGUUGAAGAGAAACCAACAAAGACAAAAUGGUUGGCUUGUGGUCAUGAUCAAUGGAUUAAAUGAUUUCUUUCUUAAUCCUAUAUUCCUAUGUAUGUAUGGGUCGUCAGUUUCUGUAGAAGUACUAAAAAAAUAACUUGCGUUAGAAAAAAAUAAAUAAAUAAAGAGAUAAUUAAUGGAUAAUAAAUGAAUGGCUUAAAACUGUUUUUGUCCUUCAAUUGACUAGGAUCAUAGACUUCAUUUUCGGUCAAUAACCCUUAUUAAUAGUAUGGUGAGAAAUUUUAAAAUAUCUUUGAAGUAUCACGUCAGUUAUAUAUAUAAUAAGUAAAUAAUAUUAUAAUAUAUUUAUCUGCUUUAUAAUAUGUAUAUUUAUUUUUAAAAAAUUAAUAUAUAAUUAUUAUUAUUAUUAUUACCUCAAAUAUAUUCUAAAAAAUACAAAUUAACUGCCGACCCAUACGAUCAAUCAAGUUGUAACUAGUUAGCUACAUAGCUAGUGACAUAUGGUGGACCUCUCGAUUGUCGCUGUGAUUGCCAUGAUCAGCACAAUUCACGCAUAAUGUUGUGGUGGGACAUAAUAACUGACUUGCUCAAGUCGUCGCGGGUGGCAGCGUUCAACUUUUCAAAGUCUUGUGCAGAAAACAUACGAAAGCAUUUGUUUGCAACAGUUGACUUUGUUUUGUUCUUAGAGCUAACUAACAAAUAGAACCGCGCGGCUUUGAAAAAAUAAUUUAAUAUUAUUCUUUUUUUAUUCUAUUUUUAACGAUUAUUCUAUUUGAUUAAGAGGAAAUACUUAAAAAAAUGAAAAAAUAAAGUAAAGUUAAAACCAAAAAUACUUUUUUAAUUAUUUAAAAUUACAUUAGCUAAAUUAACACCACAUAAAUAAAAGUGCCAUAGAUGCACCUUAUCUAAGCCAAAACUUAAAAAUCUAAGGCUGAUAUAUCAUUGCGAGGCCACUUGGAGAAGGAGCAGAAGAUGCAUCACAGUAGCCUCUCACUAUGUUCCCUUCUUCGACAGUGAAUCCGAGAGAGGUGAGCAUUGCAAGCCAGCAAUUACGGGUGAUAAUAUCAAUAGUGUGGCAACAGUCAGGGCUAAUAUCAGCCUGGACAUUAAGGAAUAAUAUAAUAAUCUCAUUUGAGCAUGAUUUCAGCUCCAUUAACGCGUUCUAGUACUUUGUUAGGCCUCCGCUAGCUUCAAGUCUUGUUGCAAGAUCGUAGUCUGGUUUCAUAUUGUUGUUGAGGCGAUCAUUCUUGCUGGUUGCAUUUGCAAUAUUUGUCAUGAUGAGGCAAGUGAAGGCCAAAAUGAAAAACACAUGUUUUAGAGCCAUUGCUAUUUUCUGUUCUUUUAUGUUGUGUUUAUAUUUAUGUAGGAUAUCAUAUUUUUUGUUGCUAUUUAUAAAUUAAGGUGAGGCAGAUGAGAAGAGUGAUUAAAUUAUUGCUUAAUUUAUAAUCAAGAAGGUUUCAAUUAGAGAAGAUAGUAAGUUUUUUGAUGAAUUGUUACGUAUUGAUUGUGUAAUAACAAUCAAAUUAAUUAUGAGAAGAUGAAAAAUCAAAUUUGAAAGAAAAUUUCCCUAUUUAUUAGAUAAUAAAUAAUAUACAAAGAUGAUAAAUGGUGAUGCCACAUCACCUCUUAUAGUCCAAACUUUAUAUAAAUAUAUAGAUUAUACUAUAAGCUUUCCAAUUCGACUAGAAUUGCUUAGCAAGCCUGUUUUAAAAAGUUCAAUUUAAGUCACCGGCAAAAUAAUUUUGUAACGAUUUCCAAUUUUGUUCUUAUCUUCAUUUUGGGACCGCCUAAGUUACAAUUAAUGUAACUUACAGCCAGCCUGUAAAAAUUCACCAAGCCCCCUACACUCUAUGUUAUUUAUAAUUUACUCGUAAGUAUUAUAAAAUUUUUUGUAUUGUAAUAUUUCGUUUAACCCCUUACACUUAAUUUUAUUUUAUUAAAACCCAAGAGUAGAAUUCGCCCCCUAUAAUUUUAAAUUUCCAAAAUAACCUCCAGUUUUAUAGCAAUUGGUUAUAAUUUAACUCAUUUUGAUUUUGAUUCUAAGGCAAAGUAAACAAUAAAUGGUAAUAAAGCUCAUUUUAAUUACGAUUCCUGCAGUUCAACUGCUGUACCGUACAUCCGCCUUGGCCGUACAGCAGCAAGGUAGGCUUUCAUGAAGAAGCGAAAAAGAGCUUUUCUUGCAAACUCUUGGAUGGCGAAGACAAAUUUAGCCGGAAACAAAAUGAAUUACAAUCAGAAAAGUUAGAAUCAAAAUGACUUUAAUUAUUGUUAUUAUCAUUCAAAAAUUAAUUAUUAAUAAUAAUUAUCGUUAAUUAUUAUUAUUAUUAACAAUUUAACAAAAAAAUAUUAUUAAUUAUUGUUAAUAGAUUAAUUAAUUAUAAUACUUUUUAUUCUUGUUAAUUAUAAUAAUUUAUUUAAAAAAUAUAAUUAUAUUUAUGAUUAUAAUAAAAUAAUAGUUAUUAAUUAAAUGGAAGUUAUUUUAGAAAUUUAAAAUUAUAGGGGAUAAAUUCGUACUUUAGGAUCUCAAUAAAAUAAAAUUGAGUAUAAGAGGCUAAACAAAAUUUUAUAAUUCAGAAAGUUUUAUAAUACUUAUGAAUAAGAUAUAAAUAAUAUAUAAGGGGCGGGAUGAAACUUUACAAACUGGCCGUAACUGUAACUUAGGCGGACCCCUUCAUUGAUUGUACUUUGAAUGGAAAUUCUUUCACACGUUCUGGCCUUUAUUGUUUGUUUUGUCUCCAUCCAUGGAAUUUCCUCCUUGGAAAUGAAUGAUAACCAAUAUCCGGUGGCCCUUCAGAUUUACAAAGACUUGCAUAUGCAAUUGCUACGAAUUAAUUAAUCGUUAUAUCUUUUUUUUUUUUUUCAAUUUUAAUUAAGUGGUUUCAUCACACAGUAUUUAACUCAAUUGAAGAUUCUUCAAUGGCCUAAAAUGAUUAUAUUUGUUUUUAAAACAAUAAUUUGGGUUGUACCCAAUUAUGAUCUAGAUGAUUGUUGUAGAAUCAGACAGAAAAUCUCUCAUCAUGAUUAAUUCUCUCCAAUGAAAAAAAUUUAAAGAAUAUACAAUUUAAAGUAAAACCCAACUAGAUAUCGAGAGACAAAUUAAUUUAAACAAUUAUAUGUAUUCAGCUCGUCACAAAAUUGAUUAAUUAAAACUAUCCUGUAAUGUAUGGAAUAUGGUCACUUUUGGUAUGCAACUCCCUCAGUAGGAUGCAUAACUGUUUAAUAGGUUAUUUUGUUAAUGGAUGAUAAGGUCUGUACCAUAACAGAUCUAUCGAUUAUAUAUAUAUAUUAUUAGUGCUUUUUCAUUGAUAAAAAGCUUAAGAAUAUUAUAACAAAGAAUUAAACUCAGAUACAUUCUGAAUUCAAUUCAAUUACAAAUAAGAUGCAAGAAAAGGAAAAUCUAAGGUAGCACUUAAGGAGGCUAAUAUGAUUUAGCAAUAUCUGAUCAUCAUGUAUCAUCUCCCUUUCGGAUUCAGGAUCUCAGAGAACACAGCUCCAGUAUACUUAUCAGAACUUCCAGUAGAAAGACUUUGAUCAUCAGUAGCAGUAGUAGUUGAUAUGGUAACCGCACUAAUGGUUUUUGAAUCUGAAAGUACAUGGUUUCCAACACUAGAGAACACGGAACCACUACCAUCGGUUUCGUAGUUGUCCAAAAUUUUUUCUUCCUCCUCAUUCUCAUCAAUCUCCUUUGCAAUUGCAAUACUACUUUCCUGCAGCUGCAAUGCGAACUCAAGUCCCCAAACCACAUCGCUCAUCGAGGGCCGUCUGAUUCCUUCGUCAUUCAAGCUGCUCAUCGCUACCUCAGCAAAUUUGUUCAAGCACUCUGGCUUUAUCUUACCCUUCAAGAAUGGAUCAACAAUCUGAUCAAUUGUUCCAUUUUGAUAACAUUGUUGUGCCCAAACAGCUAAACUCACUUGUUUCUUAUCUGCUGUCCGCAGAAUAGGUGGCCGAGCACACAAUACUUCGAACAACACAACACCGAAUGAGUAGACGUCAGAUUUCUCAGUAAGCUGCUGAAGUCGGUAGUACUCAGGAUCUAAGUAUCCGACGCUGCCCUUAACAACUGUACUCACAUGAGUUUUGGACACCGAAGUUGAUCCAAAUUUGGAGAGUCCGAAGUCGGAAACCUUGGCCACCCAUUUCUCGUCCAACAAGAUGUUGGUUGUCUUCACAUCACGAUGAAUGAUAACAGCAUGGUUUGCCCCAGUAUGCAAAUAGUGAAGCCCACGAGCUGCACCAAUGCAGAUUUCAAGCCUUUGAUUCCAUGGAAGAGGGGGACUGUCGCUAUGGUAGAGAUGAUCACGUAGGGUCCCACGAGCCAUGAAAUCGUAUACAAGGAUCAUCUCCCUGUCAUCGUUGCAAAAGCCUAUCAGAGGGACUAAAUGAAGAUGCCGGAGCUGCGAGAGCAUUCCUAUCUCAGUUUGGAAUUCCAGGGCACCCUGUUGCGACUCUGGUUCCAGUCGUUUAAUGGCAACAGGGGUAGUGCUGCCAUUGAUGAAGCCUUUGUAGACAUUACCAAACCCUCCAACUCCAAUUACGAGUUCAUUGUCGAAGUUGUUUGUAGCCGCUUGGAUUUCAGAUAGUGAAAAUUGGGUGCAAAGAUCGGAAGGAAGGAAUGAGCCGCGUGAUGACUUGGUUGCCUUGAUAGUCUUAGAAGAAAUAAAAGUCCCCAAAAGUGAAGUACCUGUACCGGAACCCGAGUCCUUGACUUUUCUUCCUCGCCAGAAAAUUAACAACAAUAGAAGAGAUAGCACACCAAAGCCUGAUAUAACACCAGCAACCAUCCCGGUUACAUUAUUCUUCUUAGUCGGUUCUAUUGUUGGAGACGCAUCCAAAUUAGGUGGGAUCGUCCGAGGCUCAGGAUUAGGUCCAGCGAGAUUUCCAGUGUUGUCCACUUUAAAGAUUUCAAGGCCGUUCAAGAUAGCAUCAGAGUAUUUGGUCCUCCAUCUGGGGGCAGGGUGCAGUUGAAUAGAAAGAUUCUGCUUAAUAUUUUCUUCAUUUGGUUUUGGUCCUAUCGUCACAGCAUAAUCUCUAUAUACGGCAACACCAUUCGCACCAGUCCAGGCUAUCACAUCUGCUUGAACUUCAGCAGUUAAAUUAGCAAUGAAGAUCUGGAACACCCUAUUGCCCUCUUCAGUUACCUCUAUCUGAAACUCACAAAAAUGAAGCCUCAGAAAAUAUGUAAAGCCCGAAUCCACUUCGAACUCCCAAGUGAGAUUAUACUUCUCGUUGAUUUCCCUAUCCUGCCCCAUCGUCCUGGCGGUUUUGUAGACCAGAUCUGGAGCAGAGUAAUUACGUAUCCAAGUGAGAUGAAUACUCUGGUUAACGGGAAGAGCACUUGGUCUGGCAUCUGUCAAGUAGGGGUCGUCCAUUUCCCAAGUUCGGUACAUGCCGCCGGUGUCGUCUGACGGUGAUAUUUGUUUCCCGCCGACGUUUAUCCGGUAUAAAGUCGCCAGAGCAUUUAUGUUUAAGAUACUGUAUGGGUUGUCCUGGCCAACAAACCUGAACCCCCCGCCGGGAUCAUCGGCCGCGGUGUAAUAGAAAUUGAGGGGCAUGGAUACAAUCUCAAUUCCAUUGAUAAAAGCAUAUGAAUCGUUGUAAUCCGGACUUGGAGUGAAGGUUAUGUUCAAAAGCCUCUGAUCGUCUUCGAUGUUAAUGCAGAAUUCUUUGAAAAAGGGACUGCGGUCGUUGCCAUAUGCUGCAAGUGAAGCGCUAAAGUUUCUUAACAGAGUGAAAGAAGCUGCUUUUACAGAGAAGAAAGCUGCAGAGGUAUUGAACCCCGGUUUUGGACUUGGAUAGAAAUGCAGGCGGAUGAACUUUUGACCGGCGGUGACGUUGAAUAUGUAGGUGAAUUGCGAAUGAGAAACACGUGAUUUUGAAUAUGGGACUUGUUUAUUUUCAGUGACGAUUGUUGAUUUGGGAGCGGAUGCGUCUUCAUGUGGGGAGUAUUGAGAGUUGACAUCUCCAACCCAAGUCUGGCCGGGAGGACCCGUGUUGCCCAACCAGCCACAAGCAAGAAAUAUGUUGCUUUCUGCUAGAGGGUAAUUAGAGUCACCGGUGACGACAACAGCUAGAUGAUGGCAGGAGAAGAAGAAAAAGAAGAAGUGGAAGAUUUUUCUGUAUGUCUCCAUUAAUUUUUUGACAAUUAAUUAAUAGGCAGGCUGCGGCUAUAGCUUUGAUUUUUCGGAUAGCUAGACAUUUAAAGGUAGCAAAUUUUGUAGCAAUAUGUCCGUCUCUGUCAGUUGGGACCACAGGCGCCUUGGCGUUUCGGGCAUGACAAUCAAAAUGAUGGAAAAAUUAAGUCUUCGUCAACUUCUUAGUCUUUGCCCUUUGGCAUCAGUCCAAUCUACUAUCACCCGUAAGGCACUUUCCAUGGCUACUAUUAAUAGACUUGUUUUGAAAUACAAACUUAUAUACAAACAUACACUGAAACUUCGUUGUAACCACAGAUCAAUCAAUUGGAUUCCAUAAUUAAAUAUACACUUCACAACAAAUCUAGAUUGGACUUGAAUGUUAAAUUAGUGUUCGGUCACUAAAUUAAAAAAAUCUUGGUCCAUAAUUGGUUAUUUUAGAAAUACAACAUGUUUAGCAGUUUAUCGAAAAGUUGAACUAAUUAUAUUAGUGCUGCAUUUACUAAUUAGUCAUCGGAAUAGACUAGAAUUGAAAUGAGCUUGAAAUUGAAAUGGCCUAGAAUCAGAAUCAGAAAAAAAAAAUUAAAAUAAGUUAUUUUUUUGAAUUGUAGGAAUUGGAAUCGGAAUGGAAAUAAAAUUUAUUUCCAUUGACGUGUUUAUUUUGUCUUGAAAUUGGAAUAAAAAAUACCAUUUUUUAAUUAUUGUUAAUUGAUGAUUAAUAAUAAUAAUAAUAAUAAUAAUAGUAAUAAUAAUAAUAAUAAUAAUAAUAAUAAUAUUAUUAUUAUUAUUAUAAGCUUAAGUUGCAAAAAUAGCCUAUCCAGUUUCUAUUGUUAUUAUUAUUAUUAUAAGCUUAAGUUGCAAAAAUAGCCUAUCCAGUUUCUAUUGUUAUUAUUAUUAUUAUAAGCUUAAGUUGCAAAAAUAGCCUAUCCAGUUUCUAUUGUUAUUAUUAUUAUUAUAAGCUUAAGUUGCAAAAAUAGCCUAUCCAGUUUCUAUUGUUAUUAUUAUUAUUAUAAGCUUAAGUUGCAAAAAUAGCCUAUCCAGUUUCUAUUGUUAUUAUUAUUAUUAUAAGCUUAAGUUGCAAAAAUAGCCUAUCCAGUUUCUAUUGUUUCUAUUCUAUUGUAAGAAAAUAUCUUGGGCAUUACACUUUUCUAUUUUUUUUGGCUUAUUUCAUUGAUAAAUUUAAUUUAAAUGGAGAUAAACUUGAAAAUUCUAACUAACUAUAGAAUAGAUAAGCCUGAUUUACAACUCACAUGUUCUCUCCUCUUAUUCUGCUCUUCAUUAAUUUUUGUAGGUUUUUGUGACUUUAUUUAUAUAUAGUCGAGAAUCCAAAUAGUAUGAUUAAAAUAAAAAAUCGAUUAGAAGACAGGUUGGCUUCCAAUUAGGUCAGAACAGGGAAAAAAAAAAAAACUUACCGAUCACUAUUUUACGGGUGAGUUCAUGAGGAAAAUAAUUAGGAGUUGCUUUCUAUUGACCACCGGGACUUGCACGGCUGCUUGACUUGUACAAUUACUGUUGUUGAAUUUGCACGACCAUCGUUAGCAUGCUAGAAUUAGAUUGGAUUAUAUUUGCUUGUGUCUUAUAUUUUGUAUAGUAUAAGAUUAAAUUGGAUUAUAAAAGUAAUAUGUUAUUGGAUAUUAAAAUCACUUACAUAUUUAUUUAGAAAUAGGGCUACUUACAUUUAAAAAAUUAUUCUGAACACACUAAUUUUAAUAAAAGUAUAUAUUUAAAAAAUAAAUUAAAUGCCUAUAAAUGCCUCUAUAAAGAACAUAUAUUAAUUCAUUCACCUGCUCCCUCCCACCCGCCUUAAUUAAUUAUCAAGGCAACACCAGUCUCUGUCCAACGAGUCACUUAUUCCAAUUAAAGUGGUAUCCUUUUCUUUUGUGAGACUAGAACCAUGUACUUUAAUGUUCACAUUGGUGUUGCCCAUACGCCAAACAUAUCAUCAAGCUUAGCUAAUUAUUACUCGAAAUCAAUAAUUAAAUGAGGAUGGAAACCUUAUCCAUUAAACAUUAAUCUUUGUCCCUUAUUAUUAUUUAAACUCGGGUAACAAUAAUGUAAAGUGCAUAUUUAAUUAUGACCAAUUCAGCUAAGCCUAAGUAAUAUAUGUCAAUAAUGUAGUGUCUAGUGUCAUAGAUUAAACUUGAACCAUCUCAUAACUAGGACAAGGAUCCUCUCUCUCUCUCUCUUUUUCCUUUUUUUAGUCUUAUAUCCUCUCCUAGUUUAAUGAAUAGCUAAGAAUGAGUUUGGAAUUUUAAUGUUGACAAUUAAGUUGAUUUUUUUUUUCAACUUAUUUAUAAUUAUGUCAACUCUUUUCACUAAAUUUAAAAAAACUAGAAAAAGCUAGGAGAAAAAAAAUAUUAAAAGAAGAUCCUAAUCCCACAAGUUAAACUCAAACCAUGCAGUACUUAAUUUUGAUGAGUGAAAAUUUGAGUUUUGAAUUUUGAUGUUGACAAACUUUAAAACCAUGCAACACUAGUGCAAAGCAUGGCGAAUGAUAGCGCUCACUAAGCUUGAAAAGCCCAAUAAAUUGUAUAAAAGAGCAUAUUGAGCACUGGGGAUUGGAGCUUUUGGUGACUUGACUCAAAUGAAGCCAGUUCUUUGUAAAUGGAGAAAUUACAUAUGUACAAGUUAUAAUAAGACUCAAUUAUAUCAAAGCAGAUUAGAUAGGAUAAGUUUGGAAUAUUUAUAAUUACAAUUGACCUAUACCUAGUAAGAGUGUAGAUCAUAAUUAUGAAACUCUACGACAAAUGUACAUAUCUAUUGAAAUAUGGAUCUUGAUGGAUUAAGCAUGCAUCUCCUACUCCUCUCCUAUAAAGAGGUUUUAAUACAUUUACAACUGGAGGCAACAUGCCCACUGCUAGAGUUAUCACAUCGGUAUCGUUAGAUUAGCAAUUUUGUUUAUGAUUUUAUCUAAUAGUAAUUUGUCGUUUUGUUUUUGGUUUCAAAUGGGCUCUUAAACAGUGCUAAAUAGUAACUAGGUGGGGGUAUGAAACGCCAUACAUAUCAUGCAUGAGAAAAGGAAAAACACCAACUGAAGGAUAGUUGAGAAUGUGAAGACCCAAGGGGAGAGAUAGGGCAUAGCUUGCAAUGAAAUCUAUCAUAAAAUUUGCUUUGCGAUAAACAUGGAUAACGGUGAUAUGCUAGUCACGUCGCAGGAGAUCCUUUAUAAAUCGAACUAACGGGAUGUAUUCAUUAGUAGAACACAAACGAUUACCAACCAGUUGAGUCACACAUAAGCUAUCCAAUUCCACAUUCAACCAGCAAAUACCUUUUUGCCAAAAUUAUUAUUAUUAUUAUUAUUAUUAUUAUUAUUAUUAUUAUUAUUAUUAUUAUUAUUAUUAUUAUUAUUAUUAUUAUUAUUAUUAUUAUUAUUAUUAUUAUUAUUAUUAUUAUUAUUAUUAUUAUUAUUAUUAUUAUUAUUAUUAUUAUUAUUAUUAUUAUUAUUAUUAUUAUUAUUAUUAUUAUUAUUAUUAUUAUUAUUAUUAUUAUUAUUAUUAUUAUUAUUAUUAUUAUUAUUAUUAUUAUUAUUAUUAUUAUUAUUAUUAUUAUUAUUAUUAUUAUUAUUAUUAUUAUUAUUAUUAUUAUUAUUAUUAUUAUUAUUAUUAUUAUUAUUAUUAUUAUUAUUAUUAUUAUUAUUAUUAUUAUUAUUAUUAUUAUUAUUAUUAUUAUUAUUAUUAUUAUUAUUAUUAUUAUUAUUAUUAUUAUUAUUAUUAUUAUUAUUAUUAUUAUUAUUAUUAUUAUUAUUAUUAUUAUUAUUAUUAUUAUUAUUAUUAUUAUUAUUAUUAUUAUUAUUAUUAUUAUUAUUAUUAUUAUUAUUAUUAUUAUUAUUAUUAUUAUUAUUAUUAUUAUUAUUAUUAUUAUUAUUAUUAUUAUUAUUAUUAUUAUUAUUAUUAUUAUUAUUAUUAUUAUUAUUAUUAUUAUUAUUAUUAUUAUUAUUAUUAUUAUUAUUAUUAUUAUUAUUAUUAUUAUUAUUAUUAUUAUUAUUAUUAUUAUUAUUAUUAUUAUUAUUAUUAUUAUUAUUAUUAUUAUUAUUAUUAUUAUUAUUAUUAUUAUUAUUAUUAUUAUUAUUAUUAUUAUUAUUAUUAUUAUUAUUAUUAUUAUUAUUAUUAUUAUUAUUAUUAUUAUUAUUAUUAUUAUUAUUAUUAUUAUUAUUAUUAUUAUUAUUAUUAUUAUUAUUAUUAUUAUUAUUAUUAUUAUUAUUAUUAUUAUUAUUAUUAUUAUUAUUAUUAUUAUUAUUAUUAUUAUUAUUAUUAUUAUUAUUAUUAUUAUUAUUAUUAUUAUUAUUAUUAUUAUUAUUAUUAUUAUUAUUAUUAUUAUUAUUAUUAUUAUUAUUAUUAUUAUUAUUAUUAUUAUUAUUAUUAUUAUUAUUAUUAUUAUUAUUAUUAUUAUUAUUAUUAUUAUUAUUAUUAUUAUUAUUAUUAUUAUUAUUAUUAUUAUUAUUAUUAUUAUUAUUAUUAUUAUUAUUAUUAUUAUUAUUAUUAUUAUUAUUAUUAUUAUUAUUAUUAUUAUUAUUAUUAUUAUUAUUAUUAUUAUUAUUAUUAUUAUUAUUAUUAUUAUUAUUAUUAUUAUUAUUAUUAUUAUUAUUAUUAUUAUUAUUAUUAUUAUUAUUAUUAUUAUUAUUAUUAUUAUUAUUAUUAUUAUUAUUAUUAUUAUUAUUAUUAUUAUUAUUAUUAUUAUUAUUAUUAUUAUUAUUAUUAUUAUUAUUAUUAUUAUUAUUAUUAUUAUUAUUAUUAUUAUUAUUAUUAUUAUUAUUAUUAUUAUUAUUAUUAUUAUUAUUAUUAUUAUUAUUAUUAUUAUUAUUAUUAUUAUUAUUAUUAUUAUUAUUAUUAUUAUUAUUAUUAUUAUUAUUAUUAUUAUUAUUAUUAUUAUUAUUAUUAUUAUUAUUAUUAUUAUUAUUAUUAUUAUUAUUAUUAUUAUUAUUAUUAUUAUUAUUAUUAUUAUUAUUAUUAUUAUUAUUAUUAUUAUUAUUAUUAUUAUUAUUAUUAUUAUUAUUAUUAUUAUUAUUAUUAUUAUUAUUAUUAUUAUUAUUAUUAUUAUUAUUAUUAUUAUUAUUAUUAUUAUUAUUAUUAUUAUUAUUAUUAUUAUUAUUAUUAUUAUUAUUAUUAUUAUUAUUAUUAUUAUUAUUAUUAUUAUUAUUAUUAUUAUUAUUAUUAUUAUUAUUAUUAUUAUUAUUAUUAUUAUUAUUAUUAUUAUUAUUAUUAUUAUUAUUAUUAUUAUUAUUAUUAUUAUUAUUAUUAUUAUUAUUAUUAUUAUUAUUAUUAUUAUUAUUAUUAUUAUUAUUAUUAUUAUUAUUAUUAUUAUUAUUAUUAUUAUUAUUAUUAUUAUUAUUAUUAUUAUUAUUAUUAUUAUUAUUAUUAUUAUUAUUAUUAUUAUUAUUAUUAUUAUUAUUAUUAUUAUUAUUAUUAUUAUUAUUAUUAUUAUUAUUAUUAUUAUUAUUAUUAUUAUUAUUAUUAUUAUUAUUAUUAUUAUUAUUAUUAUUAUUAUUAUUAUUAUUAUUAUUAUUAUUAUUAUUAUUAUUAUUAUUAUUAUUAUUAUUAUUAUUAUUAUUAUUAUUAUUAUUAUUAUUAUUAUUAUUAUUAUUAUUAUUAUUAUUAUUAUUAUUAUUAUUAUUAUUAUUAUUAUUAUUAUUAUUAUUAUUAUUAUUAUUAUUAUUAUUAUUAUUAUUAUUAUUAUUAUUAUUAUUAUUAUUAUUAUUAUUAUUAUUAUUAUUAUUAUUAUUAUUAUUAUUAUUAUUAUUAUUAUUAUUAUUAUUAUUAUUAUUAUUAUUAUUAUUAUUAUUAUUAUUAUUAUUAUUAUUAUUAUUAUUAUUAUUAUUAUUAUUAUUAUUAUUAUUAUUAUUAUUAUUAUUAUUAUUAUUAUUAUUAUUAUUAUUAUUAUUAUUAUUAUUAUUAUUAUUAUUAUUAUUAUUAUUAUUAUUAUUAUUAUUAUUAUUAUUAUUAUUAUUAUUAUUAUUAUUAUUAUUAUUAUUAUUAUUAUUAUUAUUAUUAUUAUUAUUAUUAUUAUUAUUAUUAUUAUUAUUAUUAUUAUUAUUAUUAUUAUUAUUAUUAUUAUUAUUAUUAUUAUUAUUAUUAUUAUUAUUAUUAUUAUUAUUAUUAUUAUUAUUAUUAUUAUUAUUAUUAUUAUUAUUAUUAUUAUUAUUAUUAUUAUUAUUAUUAUUAUUAUUAUUAUUAUUAUUAUUAUUAUUAUUAUUAUUAUUAUUAUUAUUAUUAUUAUUAUUAUUAUUAUUAUUAUUAUUAUUAUUAUUAUUAUUAUUAUUAUUAUUAUUAUUAUUAUUAUUAUUAUUAUUAUUAUUAUUAUUAUUAUUAUUAUUAUUAUUAUUAUUAUUAUUAUUAUUAUUAUUAUUAUUAUUAUUAUUAUUAUUAUUAUUAUUAUUAUUAUUAUUAUUAUUAUUAUUAUUAUUAUUAUUAUUAUUAUUAUUAUUAUUAUUAUUAUUAUUAUUAUUAUUAUUAUUAUUAUUAUUAUUAUUAUUAUUAUUAUUAUUAUUAUUAUUAUUAUUAUUAUUAUUAUUAUUAUUAUUAUUAUUAUUAUUAUUAUUAUUAUUAUUAUUAUUAUUAUUAUUAUUAUUAUUAUUAUUAUUAUUAUUAUUAUUAUUAUUAUUAUUAUUAUUAUUAUUAUUAUUAUUAUUAUUAUUAUUAUUAUUAUUAUUAUUAUUAUUAUUAUUAUUAUUAUUAUUAUUAUUAUUAUUAUUAUUAUUAUUAUUAUUAUUAUUAUUAUUAUUAUUAUUAUUAUUAUUAUUAUUAUUAUUAUUAUUAUUAUUAUUAUUAUUAUUAUUAUUAUUAUUAUUAUUAUUAUUAUUAUUAUUAUUAUUAUUAUUAUUAUUAUUAUUAUUAUUAUUAUUAUUAUUAUUAUUAUUAUUAUUAUUAUUAUUAUUAUUAUUAUUAUUAUUAUUAUUAUUAUUAUUAUUAUUAUUAUUAUUAUUAUUAUUAUUAUUAUUAUUAUUAUUAUUAUUAUUAUUAUUAUUAUUAUUAUUAUUAUUAUUAUUAUUAUUAUUAUUAUUAUUAUUAUUAUUAUUAUUAUUAUUAUUAUUAUUAUUAUUAUUAUUAUUAUUAUUAUUAUUAUUAUUAUUAUUAUUAUUAUUAUUAUUAUUAUUAUUAUUAUUAUUAUUAUUAUUAUUAUUAUUAUUAUUAUUAUUAUUAUUAUUAUUAUUAUUAUUAUUAUUAUUAUUAUUAUUAUUAUUAUUAUUAUUAUUAUUAUUAUUAUUAUUAUUAUUAUUAUUAUUAUUAUUAUUAUUAUUAUUAUUAUUAUUAUUAUUAUUAUUAUUAUUAUUAUUAUUAUUAUUAUUAUUAUUAUUAUUAUUAUUAUUAUUAUUAUUAUUAUUAUUAUUAUUAUUAUUAUUAUUAUUAUUAUUAUUAUUAUUAUUAUUAUUAUUAUUAUUAUUAUUAUUAUUAUUAUUAUUAUUAUUAUUAUUAUUAUUAUUAUUAUUAUUAUUAUUAUUAUUAUUAUUAUUAUUAUUAUUAUUAUUAUUAUUAUUAUUAUUAUUAUUAUUAUUAUUAUUAUUAUUAUUAUUAUUAUUAUUAUUAUUAUUAUUAUUAUUAUUAUUAUUAUUAUUAUUAUUAUUAUUAUUAUUAUUAUUAUUAUUAUUAUUAUUAUUAUUAUUAUUAUUAUUAUUAUUAUUAUUAUUAUUAUUAUUAUUAUUAUUAUUAUUAUUAUUAUUAUUAUUAUUAUUAUUAUUAUUAUUAUUAUUAUUAUUAUUAUUAUUAUUAUUAUUAUUAUUAUUAUUAUUAUUAUUAUUAUUAUUAUUAUUAUUAUUAUUAUUAUUAUUAUUAUUAUUAUUAUUAUUAUUAUUAUUAUUAUUAUUAUUAUUAUUAUUAUUAUUAUUAUUAUUAUUAUUAUUAUUAUUAUUAUUAUUAUUAUUAUUAUUAUUAUUAUUAUUAUUAUUAUUAUUAUUAUUAUUAUUAUUAUUAUUAUUAUUAUUAUUAUUAUUAUUAUUAUUAUUAUUAUUAUUAUUAUUAUUAUUAUUAUUAUUAUUAUUAUUAUUAUUAUUAUUAUUAUUAUUAUUAUUAUUAUUAUUAUUAUUAUUAUUAUUAUUAUUAUUAUUAUUAUUAUUAUUAUUAUUAUUAUUAUUAUUAUUAUUAUUAUUAUUAUUAUUAUUAUUAUUAUUAUUAUUAUUAUUAUUAUUAUUAUUAUUAUUAUUAUUAUUAUUAUUAUUAUUAUUAUUAUUAUUAUUAUUAUUAUUAUUAUUAUUAUUAUUAUUAUUAUUAUUAUUAUUAUUAUUAUUAUUAUUAUUAUUAUUAUUAUUAUUAUUAUUAUUAUUAUUAUUAUUAUUAUUAUUAUUAUUAUUAUUAUUAUUAUUAUUAUUAUUAUUAUUAUUAUUAUUAUUAUUAUUAUUAUUAUUAUUAUUAUUAUUAUUAUUAUUAUUAUUAUUAUUAUUAUUAUUAUUAUUAUUAUUAUUAUUAUUAUUAUUAUUAUUAUUAUUAUUAUUAUUAUUAUUAUUAUUAUUAUUAUUAUUAUUAUUAUUAUUAUUAUUAUUAUUAUUAUUAUUAUUAUUAUUAUUAUUAUUAUUAUUAUUAUUAUUAUUAUUAUUAUUAUUAUUAUUAUUAUUAUUAUUAUUAUUAUUAUUAUUAUUAUUAUUAUUAUUAUUAUUAUUAUUAUUAUUAUUAUUAUUAUUAUUAUUAUUAUUAUUAUUAUUAUUAUUAUUAUUAUUAUUAUUAUUAUUAUUAUUAUUAUUAUUAUUAUUAUUAUUAUUAUUAUUAUUAUUAUUAUUAUUAUUAUUAUUAUUAUUAUUAUUAUUAUUAUUAUUAUUAUUAUUAUUAUUAUUAUUAUUAUUAUUAUUAUUAUUAUUAUUAUUAUUAUUAUUAUUAUUAUUAUUAUUAUUAUUAUUAUUAUUAUUAUUAUUAUUAUUAUUAUUAUUAUUAUUAUUAUUAUUAUUAUUAUUAUUAUUAUUAUUAUUAUUAUUAUUAUUAUUAUUAUUAUUAUUAUUAUUAUUAUUAUUAUUAUUAUUAUUAUUAUUAUUAUUAUUAUUAUUAUUAUUAUUAUUAUUAUUAUUAUUAUUAUUAUUAUUAUUAUUAUUAUUAUUAUUAUUAUUAUUAUUAUUAUUAUUAUUAUUAUUAUUAUUAUUAUUAUUAUUAUUAUUAUUAUUAUUAUUAUUAUUAUUAUUAUUAUUAUUAUUAUUAUUAUUAUUAUUAUUAUUAUUAUUAUUAUUAUUAUUAUUAUUAUUAUUAUUAUUAUUAUUAUUAUUAUUAUUAUUAUUAUUAUUAUUAUUAUUAUUAUUAUUAUUAUUAUUAUUAUUAUUAUUAUUAUUAUUAUUAUUAUUAUUAUUAUUAUUAUUAUUAUUAUUAUUAUUAUUAUUAUUAUUAUUAUUAUUAUUAUUAUUAUUAUUAUUAUUAUUAUUAUUAUUAUUAUUAUUAUUAUUAUUAUUAUUAUUAUUAUUAUUAUUAUUAUUAUUAUUAUUAUUAUUAUUAUUAUUAUUAUUAUUAUUAUUAUUAUUAUUAUUAUUAUUAUUAUUAUUAUUAUUAUUAUUAUUAUUAUUAUUAUUAUUAUUAUUAUUAUUAUUAUUAUUAUUAUUAUUAUUAUUAUUAUUAUUAUUAUCAUUAUUAUUAUUAUCAUUAUUAUUAUAAGCUUUAAGUUGUAAAAAUAGCCUAUCCAGUUUCUAUUGUUUCCAUUCUAUUGUAAGAAAAUAUCUUGGGCAUUACACUUUUCUAUUUUUUUUGGCUUAUUUCAUUGAUAAAUUUAAUUUAAAUGGAGAUAAACUUGAAAAUUCUAAUUAACUAUAGAAUAGAUAGGCCUGAUUUGCAACUCACAUGUUCUCUCCUCUUACUCCGCUCUUCAUUAAUUUUUGUAUGUUUUUGUGACUUUAUUUAUAUAUAGUCGAGAAUCCAAAUAGUAUGAUUAAAAUAAAAAAUCGAUUAGAAGACAGGUUGGCUUCCAAUUAGGUCAGAACAGGGAAAAAAAAACUUACCGAUCACUAUUUUACGGGUGAGUUCAUGAGGAAAAUAAUUAGGAGUUGCUUUCUAUUGACCACCGGGACUUGCACGGCUGCUUGACUUGUACAAUUACUGUUGUUGAAUUUGCACGACCAUCGUUAGCAUGCUAGAAUUAGAUUGGAUUAUAUUUGCUUGUGUCUUAUAUUUUGUAUAGUAUAAGAUUAAAUUGGAUUAUAAAAGUAAUAUGUUAUUGGAUAUUAAAAUCACUUACAUAUUUAUUUAGAAAUAAGACUACUUACAUUUAAAAAAUUAUUCUGAACACACUAAUUUUAAUAAAAGUAUAUAUUUAAAAAAUAAAUUAAAUGCCUAUAAAUGCCUCUAUAAAGAACAUAUAUUAAUUCAUUCACCUGCUCCCUCCCACCCGCCUUAAUUAAUUAUCAAGGCAACACCAGUCUCUGUCCAACGAGUCACUUAUUCCAAUUAAAGUGGUAUCCUUUUCUUUUGUGAGACUAGAACCAUGUACUUUAAUGUUCACAUUGGUGUUGCCCAUACGCCAAACAUAUCAUCAAGCUUAGCUAAUUAUUACUCGAAAUCAAUAAUUAAAUGAGGAUGGAAACCUUAUCCAUUAAACAUUAAUCUUUGUCCCUUAUUAUUAUUUAAACUCGGGUAACAAUAAUGUAAAGUGCAUAUUUAAUUAUGACCAAUUCAGCUAAGCCUAAGUAAUAUAUGUCAAUAAUGUAGUGUCUAGUGUCAUAGAUUAAACUUGAACCAUCUCAUAACUAGGACAAGGAUCCUCUCUCUCUCUCUCUUUUUCCUUUUUUUAGUCUUAUAUCCUCUCCUAGUUUAAUGAAUAGCUAAGAAUGAGUUUGGAAUUUUAAUGUUGACAAUUAAGUUGAUUUUUUUUUUCAACUUAUUUAUAAUUAUGUCAACUCUUUUCACUAAAUUUAAAAAAACUAGAAAAAGCUAGGAGAAAAAAAAUAUUAAAAGAAGAUCCUAAUCCCACAAGUUAAACUCAAACCAUGCAGUACUUAAUUUUGAUGAGUGAAAAUUUGAGUUUUGAAUUUUGAUGUUGACAAACUUUAAAACCAUGCAACACUAGUGCAAAGCAUGGCGAAUGAUAGCGCUCACUAAGCUUGAAAAGCCCAAUAAAUUGUAUAAAAGAGCAUAUUGAGCACUGGGGAUUGGAGCUUUUGGUGACUUGGCUCAAAUGAAGCCAGUUCUUUGUAAAUGGAGAAAUUACAUAUGUACAAGUUAUAAUAAGACUCAAUUAUAUCAAAGCAUAUUAGAUAGGAUAAGUUUGGAAUAUUUAUAAUUACAAUUGACCUAUACCUAGUAAGAGUGUAGAUCAUAAUUAUGAAACUCUACGACAAAUGUACAUAUCUAUUGAAAUAUGGAUCUUGAUGGAUUAAGCAUGCAUCUCCUACUCCUCUCCUAUAAAGAGGUUUUAAUACAUUUACAACUGGAGGCAACAUGCCCACUGCUAGAGUUAUCACAUCGGUAUCGUUAGAUUAGCAAUUUUGUUUAUGAUUUUAUCUAAUAGUAAUUUGUCGUUUUGUUUUUGGUUUCAAAUGGGCUCUUAAACAGUGCUAAAUAGUAACUAGGUGGGGGUAUGAAACCUCAUACAUAUCAUGCGUGAGAAAAGGAAAAACACCAACUGAAGGAUAGUUGAGAAUGUGAAGACCCAAGGGGAGAGAUAGGGCAUAGCUUGCAAUGAAAUCUAUCAUAAAAUUUGCUUUGCGAUAAACAUGGAUAACGGUGAUAUGCUAGUCACGUCGCAGGAGAUCCUUUAUAAAUCGAACUAACGGGAUGUAUUCAUUAGUAGAACACAAACGAUUACCAACCAGUUGAGUCACACAUAAGCUAUCCAAUUCCACAUUCAACCAGCAAAUACCUUUUUGCCAAACGACAAACAAAUCUUGAAACAACCCCAAGAGUUCCGCAACAAUAACAAAACAAGAACAAAUAUUUAUGCAAAAGCCAACCAAUCAAUUCCCAUUAUGAUCACAGAUAAGUCCACCGUGUUAGAUUCCCCAAUUCUCUUAGCUUCACCAUUUGUAUUAAGCUCGCACCAAGGCUAGAUGGGGGAAUUCACGCGAUCUACUUCUCGGACCUUCUGAAUUCUGAUUCUCGUACACAUGGGGGAGUUAUUUACUUUAUAAAUUUCCGCUACUCUCACACUGAUACCGUUCAUCAUGUAAUCACUAUCCACAAAGAGGUCAUUAAAAAAAAAAAAAAAUUGGUUCCGCUAGUACCAAAGCCUCCAGAAUGCAAAUCAAAGAAACAUCUCCAGCUAACAUCUUUCUUGAAAAUCCAAUUAUUCUUUAAAUUCUUACACAUCUAAUCACGAAGGUCUAAAGAAUAAAAAGCUUGUCAAUUACACAUAGGCAUGACAUGUGAUUAACACUUGAAAGUGUACAUGUAAUAAGGUAAAAUUAUUAGUUUUUCACUUAAAGUGUUGAUUAAUGUACUCAUUAUUAUUAAAUUAUCUUAACACUCCCUAAAUAUAUUUUUAUGUUAAAUUAAUUCGCAAUAUGUUGAUUUUUAUCUUGUAAAUAUUUUUCAAGAAUAAAGAUGGAAUUGGAAUUGAAAGUGAGAAUAAAAAAGAACUGCUUGAGGAUAAUUGAGGAGAUGUAAUUAAUAAAAUAAAAAAAUAAAAAAUAAAAAGGGUGAGCAACCAUACUCGUGAUGGUCAAGUGGCCAUCUUACCACCUGACCAUCACACCUCUCAAUGUAUAUAUAUAUAUUAUAAAAAUAAAAUAAAAUAAAAUAUAAUAAUAAUAAAACAAUAAAAAAAAAGGAUGGAGCCCUUGCCUUUUGAUGCAAGCAGGAGCUGAAGCCGAUAGAGAGAGCCGAGAGUGAAGCUGAGGAAAUCUUUAUUUCUUUUCUUGUUUUCUGGUGUAAUCAAUUUCCUUGUAAUAUAUUUCAAAAGUUUGUCAAAUAAAAAAAGUGUUUUGUUUUCUUUCAAUAUGAGUGACUAAUUUUAUUAAACUGAGGUGAAGGGUGAAACUCAAGAUUUUAAAUUAUUGAGUUAAUUAUUCUCCCAAGUGAGUCUUAAAGUUUAUUUUCUUUAUUUAUAUUUUUCUUCCUUACUGGUUUCUUUUAUGUCAUUUUAAUUUAUAAAUUCAAAUCUCUGUAGAUUUAUAUGGUAUUUUGAUAUAAUGUUGACACUUGAUCAAUAUAGUGGCGACACAUUAGGUACUUAGUCCCAUAUUUAUCACACUAAUGAUUAGUUAAAAAUUAAAUGGCAUAAUAAUUAACUGGUAAAAGAAAUGCAAAAUAUAAAAUUUGAGAGAGUGUUAUAACCAUAAUUUGAAAUCUGAAAGUGGAUCCCAUAACCUUAGCAUAUUUUUAGAUUGACUCAAAUUAAUUUCUUUUCCUACAUUAAAUUUUAUUAGUUUAAUAAAUUGAUUGCUAGAUUUUAAAUUCCUUAUUGUUCGAUCCCGGACUCAUCGAGUUAUAUUAACUAGAUACUCUUAUAUUUGAGAGUAAUAACACUUUUGAGUCGUGUCAACAUGAUUCCAAAACCUACAAAGUAUUCUCCAGAAUGGCUCCACAACAAUCACAUCCACUCCUUGCUGGAAUCUGCCUUCUUAGCAACUCAACAUUAAGGCAUAAUUUAGAGAAAACUACAGAUACAAUGUGGGCCUUGCCAAUUUCGAAGCCAAACUACAAAUCCGAUCUUCCUUAUUAUGGCCAUGACUAGAAAUGGCAUGGUAGGCUAAUUGAACAAUGAAACUACCCUUCUUGGACUCUGCCCAUAAAACUUAAUCUUUCACCCAUAUGAUUCAUUGGCAAUUGAAAGGAAGUAACUUUUAGAAUAAUUUUAUUAGGCAAUAAAUGCUCGAAAGUAGCCUACUUCUUGCUAUCAGACUCAUCUACAAAAUCUAUAACAACAUUAUACAAGAUAUUUGCACGAAGAUCACUAGUAGGAUAAAACAACAAAGGCUUGUCUCUUGUUACCCAAUAGUCCUGCCAAAACUUGACCAUUUUUCUAUCCCCUAUACUCUAUCGAGUACUCAUAAAAGUAUCAUUCCAAAUGCUCCCAAUUGAUCACCAUUAGUGAGAACCAAAUCUCGUAGGCAAUAUAUGAGGCAAAUUAGACGAACCCAAACGAUACUUCGUGAUUAGAUCCUGAGACCACGGGCUAGCUAGAGAAGUAAUCAUAUUGUGCGCGGAAUGCGGAAUCAAGCGCACUAAAUAAUUAUAGAAAAAUAAAGGACACAAGAAUUACGUGAUUCAGUAAUUAAACCUACAUCCACAGAGGCAAGAAAGAAUAAGUGUUUAUUUAACAAUUAAUAGAGUACAAUAUUUGAGUAACGAAUCUCACUUCCUAGAAACCUAAAUAUAUCCAGUACUCUCACACUCUGCAGGAAAGAUAAAUUCCCUAGACACACUUCUCUCACUUCUCUCAAAAGCUUAGAAACUUAUAAGCUUAACAAUUUUGGGAUGCUAAAGAAUGGGAUUGUCGCUAUGGUAGAGAUGAUCAGGUAGAGUCCCACGAGCCAUGAAAUCGUAUACAAGGAUCAUCUCCCUGUCAUCGUUGCAAAAGCCUAUGAGAGAGACUAAAUGAAGAUGCCGGAGCUGCGAGAGCAUUCCUAUCUCAGUUUGGAAUUCCAGGGCACCCUGUUGCGACUCUGGUUCCAGUCGUUUAAUGGCAACAGGGGUAGUGCUGCCAUUGAUGAAGCCUUUGUAGACAUCUCCAAACCCUCCAACUCCAAUUACGAGAUCAUUGUCGAAGUUGUUUGUAGCCGCUUGGAUUUCAGAUAGUGAAAAUUGGGUGCAAAGAUCGGAAGGAAGGAAUGAGCCGCGUGAUGACUUGGUUGCCUUGAUAGUCUUAGAAGAAAUAAAAGUCCCCAAAAGUGAAGUACCUGUACCGGAACUCGAAUCCUUGACUUUUCUUCCUCGCCAGAAAAUUAACAACAAUAGAAGAGAUAGCACACUAGAGCCUGAUAUAGCACCAGCAACCAUCCCGGUUACAUUAUUCUUCUUAGUCGGUUCUAUUGUUGGAGACGCAUCCAAAUUAGGUGGAAUCGUCCGAGGCUCAGGAUUAGGUCCGCCGAGAUUUCCAGUGUUGUCCACUUUAAAGAUUUCAAGGCCGUUCAAGAUAGCAUCAGAGUAUUUGGUCCUCCAUCUGGGGGCAGGGUGCAGUUGAAUAGAAAGAUUCUG
This 43054-nucleotide long non-coding RNA is filed under the name Citrus sinensis (sweet orange). RNAcentral describes it as "long non-coding RNA (CSIN_LNC004719)". The record is from RNAcentral. Lineage: Eukaryota; Viridiplantae; Streptophyta; Magnoliopsida; Sapindales; Rutaceae.